RNAcentral lists this transfer RNA (71 nucleotides) under Candidatus Woesearchaeota archaeon. RNAcentral describes it as "tRNA-His". It matches the Rfam family "tRNA". From Rfam's summary of the family: Transfer RNA (tRNA) molecules are approximately 80 nucleotides in length. The record is from RNAcentral. Lineage: Archaea; Nanobdellati; Candidatus Woesearchaeota.
GUGGAAAUGGUGUAGCGGCAGCAUUCAGGUCUGUGGAACCUGCGGUCCGGGUUCAACUCCCGGUUUCCACC